AGUUCUGGGGAAUGCUGUGGGCAACGCAGUGUGCCCCUCUCUGUGCUGUGGUUUUCCUGAAGGCUUGUCUGGACUCUCUCUCUAGCUACUGGGAGUCUGAGCCCUGCUGAGGGCUCUCCUUUCUAGGGGAUCAACUGUGCUUCAAAAGGCAGGCUCUGUGAAGGCCAGCACUCGGCUUAGGAGUUGUGUGCCCCUUAUUUCCAUUCCUGGGUGAAGAUUAGUGUUUCUGACACGGCAGAGGGUACUACUUUAGACUGAGGAAGCGAGAUGAAGAGCCAAUUGUUUUCUGCAUCGAGUUUAAAGAUGUAAAUAAAUCUUGCUGCUGAUUGAAAAAGAGAACAACUAUUAAGACUGUCUUCAAAAGGAGUCAGAUUCACUGCCCAGUCUAAAGCAGCCACAUGCUGACAAGCCCUGUCUGCUGAGGCAGCUCUUCAGAUGUCUGGGGAAUGGAGACCGAUGGUCCCAGCAGGGGAGAGACUGUGUUGACUUCAGAUGUCUCCAGAAACAGGGAUGUCAUGGCUUGGAUUGUAGUCUUCCCCAUGGAGGAACACACCACACACUGACAUCCAGUAUUACUGCGUCAGCCUCACACUGCUCCACCCUUCUGUGCUUGACGCUUGUAACAUCCUCCGCACCCAGGGCCGUGCUGUUCUCUCUUCCACGUUGGUCAUUCUGUUGGGACUUGGGGAAAAAAACAGUUGAA
RNAcentral lists this long non-coding RNA (703 nucleotides) under Mus caroli (Ryukyu mouse). Its description in RNAcentral is "lncRNA (MGP_CAROLIEiJ_G0005162.1)". The record is from RNAcentral. Lineage: Eukaryota; Metazoa; Chordata; Mammalia; Rodentia; Muridae.